GACGAACGCUGGCGGCGUGCUUAACACAUGCAAGUCGAACGGAAAGGCCCUGCUCUUGUGGCUUGCUCGAGUGGCGAACGCGUGAGUAACACGUGAGUAACCUCCACUUGACUUUGGGAUAACUUCAGGGAACUGGGGCUCAUACCGGAUAGGAGCUCCUGCUGCAUGGGGGGGGUUGGAAAGUUUCGGCGGUUGGGGAUGGACUCGCGGCUUAUCAGCUUCUUUGUGGGGUAGUGGCUUACGAAGGGUUUGACGGGUAGCCGGCCUGGGAGGGUGACCGGGGACCAGAGGCCUAAGGUACGGACCAGUAGGGUACGGGAGGCAGCGGUGGAGAAUAUUGCACAGUAGGCGGAAGCGUGAUGCAGAAGUGCUGCGAGCGGGAUGCCGGGUUUCGGGUUGAAAACAGCUUUGGAAUGUGCCGAAGCGUGCGUGACGGUAAUGGGUAAGGAAGCACCGGCUAACUACGUG
Molecule: ribosomal RNA, 468 nt
Filed under: uncultured bacterium
Lineage: Bacteria
Description: partial 16S ribosomal RNA
Rfam family: Bacterial small subunit ribosomal RNA
Source: RNAcentral